GGUGGAAAGUCAGAAAGCUGUUCAACAUGAAAAGUUUCAUUUGUACUCUAUUGGUAUUGGCGUUAGUUGGCCUAGUGGCUGGCCUAAACUGCAGAAACGACGAUUAUUCAUUUAUUACAUGCAGUGACCGUUACUGUGACUGGUGGUGGGGUUCGUGCCCUGAAGGAUAUCAGAUGUGCGACUUUGAUAUAUGGAGCUGGUGCACAAUUUUCUACCAUACCUGCUGCAAACCGUAAAUCUGUAAAUCUAGGAUCUGUGUUGCCUCUACACUAAUUAUUUCAAUUAUUUUGUUACAAUACCCAAAUAACACAGAUAAAAGGAUAUAAAACUUGUAUAAAAGUAUAUUAUGAAUAAGUUUAGCAUUUAUAUCUGUUUAAUAAGUUCAAAAAAUGUAUUAUAUUCCUGAAAAUUUGUUAUUAAAAUAUACAGGAAA
This is a long non-coding RNA of Photinus pyralis (common eastern firefly), 433 nucleotides long. RefSeq lists it as uncharacterized. The transcript has 2 exons. Lineage: Eukaryota; Metazoa; Arthropoda; Insecta; Coleoptera; Lampyridae. The record is from RefSeq and is a predicted model, not a curated record.